This 1089-nucleotide long non-coding RNA is filed under the name Anser brachyrhynchus (Pink-footed goose). RNAcentral's name for it is "lncRNA (ENSABRG00000016451.1)". Lineage: Eukaryota; Metazoa; Chordata; Aves; Anseriformes; Anatidae. The record is from RNAcentral.
UUCUCCUUGAGGAAUUAAAUGGAUGAAAUUUUCAAGAUUACUUGUACCCCUGUUGCCAAGCUACCUAGCUCUUCUGCAUUUGCUGACUGGAGCCUCAAGUACUAGUAUUUCCCUUUCCUGCUGUUCCUGUGGAGGUGUUGAUUCAGCACAGUUAGAGAUUAGUGUUUGAAAGAUAUAGCACUGAAGCAUAAAUUCAAGACAAGAUUGGAAACUGAAAAGUUCACGUAGGUUUUUACAUAUACUUUCUUAUGGGCAGAUGGUGGACUUUGCAGAUGCAUCAUUGAUUACUGCUUAUUCAUCUUUGGCAAAUAUGGUGGUGUUUGAAAUGUACGUUAUUAAAAUUUGCUCUUUUUCAUGAAGGAAUGUGUGCGAUUUCUUAACUAGUCAUUCAUACUGAUCAAAGCAGAUGUGUUUGUCUUAGUGCAGUUUAUUCAUUGUCCCCAACUGCUUAAUCCUGUGUCAACUUUUACUACCUGUGUAAAUUGUAUAUUUUUCUUCACAGGAACUGUCAUUUAUUUGAUAUCAAUUCAACAUACAGAACAAUGGAUUGCAACUUAUGUGACGUCCUGAAUGCCACUAAAUCCAAAUUAUCAUCUCCACAUAAACAGGCCUGCUAGCACAAUUAUCUAUAUGUGUGAAGGAAGAAAUAGUUAGCACAAAGCAGAAGGCUGAAGAGACAAAAAUGUGUGUGCAGAAAAGAAGCACGAAAAGGUCUCCCCAGAGAUCUGGUAAGCUCCAUGGGCUAGUGAUCCUGUUGAAACCAGAAGAAUGGCUAAACUCAGAACUCCAUGUGUCAGCUGAAUCCAGGCAAGGCUACUGUUUAUCUCACAGUUCUUCCACCAACUCCACUUAUGCACUCAUGAGUAAUCUUCACCAUUUUGAGAGAAGUGCCUUCCACCAAGAAUACGGACUGUGAGCAGAAGUGCAAAAAUUGAGGCUUUAAGCUGGAACAAAUCAGACAAUAGCAGCUGCACGCAGAUGAGCGGGCACAGCCUUUGAAAACAUGAGAAACAAGGAGGUUGUGCAGGGACAAGUAAGUAUUUGAAAGCAUGCCGGUUCUUCUCUGAUGUACCAAGUACUAAAUGUGCG